RNAcentral lists this long non-coding RNA (557 nucleotides) under Homo sapiens (human). RNAcentral describes it as "non-protein coding lnc-ZNF567-2:2". The record is from RNAcentral. Lineage: Eukaryota; Metazoa; Chordata; Mammalia; Primates; Hominidae.
AAAAGCGGUCAACCCAGCCACGAUGCGAGCCAAAGGAUUCUUGGCUCCAAGCCUGGUCCUGGCUGUUAGUUUGGAACUCAUGCACCCAGAUGCUAACUCGCCCUCAGAAUGCAGAGGGGAUGAAACACUGACCGGACAAUUCAAUCUGUAUAUGGGAGAUAAACUGGAGGGGAAGACGAAUGGCAGGAGGGUGAAGAGGAAACUGAAUUACUGUGCAAACACCCGCCACUCAAAUCCGGGUGGUUACUGCAGAGUGAAUAACGAUAGGUACUAUUUCGUGUAAGGCAAAGUCCUUUGAAAGGGCUCCUAGAGCGUCAAGGCCUCCACCUGAUGAAUGAAUGAGUCAGGCAGGCCCAGCUCCACUUCACGGAUGGGAAAACUGAGGUACGAGGCCUCGCUGAAAGAUGCGAGGCAGAGCGGAGAACCAGAAGCACCACUUCUCUCAGGCUGAUGCUCUAAUCUCGGCUCCCCCCGCCCCUACAAUGGCGUAGACGGCCUCCGCCGCCCGACUCACACACACCCUCCCCCGGGAACGGCAAGUCUCCUCGGGUUCCAAG